UACGGAGGGGGCUAGCGUUAUUCGGAAUGAUUGGGCGUAAAGGACGCGUAGGCGGCUUUGUUAGUCUUUAGUGAAAUCCCCGAGCUUAACUUGGGAAUUGCUUAGGAUACUGCAGAGCUAGAGUAUGGGAGAGGUAAGUGGAAUCUUUGGUGUAGAGGUGAAAUUCUUAGAUAUCAGAGAGAACGUCAGUGGCGAAAGCGACUUACUGGAACAUAACUGACGCUGAGGCGUGAAAGCGUGGGGAGCAAAAGGG
This 253-nucleotide ribosomal RNA is filed under the name uncultured bacterium. RNAcentral's name for it is "partial 16S ribosomal RNA". It matches the Rfam family "Bacterial small subunit ribosomal RNA", at positions 524 to 776 of the family's 1533-position model. The record is from RNAcentral.